Molecule: long non-coding RNA, 346 nt
Organism: Oreochromis niloticus (Nile tilapia)
Lineage: Eukaryota; Metazoa; Chordata; Actinopteri; Cichliformes; Cichlidae
Exons: 4
Source: RefSeq, a predicted model, not a curated record
AUAAAAUCUAGCAUAUUAAUAUUUAAAUGUACAUAUAUUUUUCACGUUUUCAAUGCCAAUUUUGUGUAAUGGCAAAGUUUCCCACUACCCGUGAAUGCCUCUUUUUUUACGUCUACGGCUGUCUACUGAAUCUCCGCCCACUCUCUGCCUGAUCGCUGCCGAGUGAAAGAGAUCUUUGGUUUUGCCUUUGCUGACUGCUGAUCUGAUCAUCUCAAGUCUGGUGACCUGCUGCAGAAAACCCUCUCCCUCUAUCAUUAUCAAGCAAUUCUGUCUAUCCUAUCACUCUCCCAACUCUAUCUAAUUUGACAGCCAUUCCAUCUUGUAUCCCUCUAUCUCUACUGCUCUA